UACGUAGGGGGCAAGCGUUGUCCGGAUUUAUUGGGCGUAAAGCGCGUGUAGGUGGCCAAGUAGGUCCGCUGUGAAAACUUGAGGCUCAACCUCAAGCUGUCGGUGGAAACCACUUGGCUAGAGUCCGGAAGAGGAGAGUGGAAUUCCUGGUGUAGCGGUGAAAUGCGCAGAUAUCAGGAAGAACACCGAUGGCGAAGGCAGGUCUCUGGGCCACUACUGACGCUGAGAAGCGAAAGCAUGGGGAGCGAACAGG
This 253-nucleotide ribosomal RNA is filed under the name uncultured bacterium. Its description in RNAcentral is "partial 16S ribosomal RNA". It matches the Rfam family "Bacterial small subunit ribosomal RNA", at positions 524 to 776 of the family's 1533-position model. The record is from RNAcentral.